Molecule: ribosomal RNA, 414 nt
Filed under: uncultured microorganism
Description: bacterial SSU rRNA
Rfam family: Archaeal small subunit ribosomal RNA
Source: RNAcentral
CAGCAGCCGCGGUAAUACCGGCGGCCCGAGUGGCGGUCACUAUUAUUGGGCUUAAAGCGUCCGUAGCCGGGUUGGGAAGUCCUCCGGGAAAUCUGGCCGCUUAACGGUCAGAAUGCCGGAGGAUACUCCCAGCCUAGGGAGCGGGAGAGGCCGAGGGGAUUCCCGGGGUAGGGGGGAAAUCCUAUAAUCCCGGGAGGACCACCUGGGGCGAAGGCGCUCGGCUGGAACGCGUCCGACGGUGAGGGACGAAGGCCAGGGGAGCAAACCGGAUUAGAUACCCGGGUAGUCCUGGCUGUAAACGAUGCGGACUUUGUGUCGGACAAGCUAUGAGCUUGUCCGGUGCCGGAGGGAAACCGUUAAGUCCGCCGCCUGGGGAGUACGGCCGCAAGGCUGAAACUUAAAGGAAUUGGCGGG